Molecule: ribosomal RNA, 301 nt
Filed under: uncultured bacterium
Lineage: Bacteria
Description: partial 16S ribosomal RNA
Rfam family: Bacterial small subunit ribosomal RNA
Source: RNAcentral
CAGCAGCCACGGGAAUACGUAGGGUGCGAGCGUUGUCCGGAAUUAUUGGGCGUAAAGAGCUUGUAGGCGGUCUGUCGCGUCUGCUGUGAAAACCCGAGGCUCAACCUCGGGCCUGCAGUGGGUACGGGCAGACUAGAGUGCGGUAGGGGAGAACGGAACUCCUGGUGUAGCGGUGGAAUGCGCAGAUAUCAGGAAGAACACCGAUGGCGAAGGCAGUUCUCUGGGCCGUAACUGACGCUGAGAAGCGAAAGCGUGGGGAGCGAACAGGAUUAGAUACCCCUGUAGUCCCUGUCUCUUAUAC